Molecule: ribosomal RNA, 405 nt
Filed under: uncultured Alcanivorax sp.
Lineage: Bacteria; Pseudomonadati; Pseudomonadota; Gammaproteobacteria; Oceanospirillales; Alcanivoracaceae
Description: bacterial SSU rRNA
Rfam family: Bacterial small subunit ribosomal RNA
Source: RNAcentral
AACGAACGCUGGCGGCAGGCUUAACACAUGCAAGUCGAGCGCGCCCUUCGGGGUGAGCGGCGGACGGGUUAGUAACGCGUGGGAACGUGCCCAGAUCUAAGGAAUAGCCACUGGAAACGGUGAGUAAUACCUUAUACGCCCUUCGGGGAAAGAUUUAUCGGAUUUGGAUCGGCCCGCGUUAGAUUAGAUAGUUGGUGGGGUAAUGGCCUACCAAGUCUACGAUCUAUAGCUGGUUUUAGAGGAUGAUCAGCAACACUGGGACUGAGACACGGCCCAGACUCCUACGGGAGGCAGCAGUGGGGAAUCUUGGACAAUGGGCGCAAGCCUGAUCCAGCCAUGCCGCGUGAGUGAUGAAGGCCUUUAGGGCGUAAGCUCUUUCGCCACGAGAUGAUAAUGACAGUAUCU